This 73-nucleotide transfer RNA is filed under the name Camelus bactrianus (Bactrian camel). It matches the Rfam family "tRNA". Rfam says of the family: Transfer RNA (tRNA) molecules are approximately 80 nucleotides in length. Their secondary structure includes four short double-helical elements and three loops (D, anti-codon, and T loops). Further hydrogen bonds mediate the characteristic L-shaped molecular structure. tRNAs have two regions of fundamental functional importance: the anti-codon, which is responsible for specific mRNA codon recognition, and the 3' end, to which the tRNAs corresponding amino acid is attached (by aminoacyl-tRNA synthetases). tRNAs cope with the degeneracy of the genetic code in two manners: having more than one tRNA (with a specific anti-codon) for a particular amino acid; and 'wobble' base-pairing, i.e. permitting non-standard base-pairing at the 3rd anti-codon position. Lineage: Eukaryota; Metazoa; Chordata; Mammalia; Artiodactyla; Camelidae. The record is from Rfam by way of RNAcentral. RNAcentral also lists the same sequence under 1 other name.
GAAGGUAUAGCUCAAGUGGUAGAGCGAAUGGUUAGCAUGCACAAGGUCCUGGGUUCAACCCCCAGGACCUCCU